This 436-nucleotide ribosomal RNA is filed under the name uncultured bacterium. Its description in RNAcentral is "partial 16S ribosomal RNA". It matches the Rfam family "Bacterial small subunit ribosomal RNA", at positions 29 to 507 of the family's 1533-position model. The record is from RNAcentral.
AACGAACGCUGGCGGCAUGCCUAACACAUGCAAGUCGAACGAUGGUCUUCGGAUCAUAGUGGCGCACGGGUGCGUAACGCGUGGGAAUCUGCCCUUGGGUUCGGAAUAACAGUUGGAAACGACUGCUAAUACCGGAUGAUGUCGAUAAGACCAAAGAUUUAUCGCCCGAGGAUGAGCCCGCGUCGGAUUAGCUAGUUGGUGGGGCAAAGGCCUACCAAGGCGACGAUCCGUAGCUGGUCUGAGAGGAUGAUCAGCCACACUGGGACUGAGACACGGCCCAGACUCCUACGGGAGGCAGCAGUGGGGAAUAUUGGACAAUGGGCGCAAGCCUGAUCCAGCAAUGCCGCGUGAGUGAUGAAGGCCUUAGGGUUGUAAAGCUCUUUUACCCGGGAAGAUAAUGACUGUACCGGGAGAAUAAGCCCCGGCUAACUCCGUG